GGCAGACGGGUGAGUAACGCGUGGAUGACCUGCCCUUGAGCGGGGGAUAACGUCUCGAAAGGGACGCUAAUACCGCAUGAUGUCCCGCCUUUGAAGAGGUGGAGACCAAAGCUGGGGACCGCAAGGCCUGGCACUCAAGGAGGGGUCCGCGUCCGAUUAGCUAGUUGGUGGGGUAACGGCUCACCAAGGCUCCGAUCGGUAGCCGGCCUGAGAGGGCGGACGGCCACACUGGGACUGAGACACGGCCCAGACUCCUACGGGAGGCAGCAGUGGGGAAUUGUUCGCAAUGGGCGCAAGCCUGACGACGCAACGCCGCGUGGAGGAUGAAGAUUUUCGGAUCGUAAACUCCUGUCGAAUGGGACGAAUGGCCUGGCCGUGAACAACGGCCGGGAAUGACGGUACCGUGAGAGGAAGCCCCGGCUAACUCCGUGCCAGCAGCCGCGGUAAUACGGGGGGGGCGAGCGUUGUUCGGAAUUACUGGGCGUAAAGGGCUCGUAGGCGGCCAACUAA
Molecule: ribosomal RNA, 510 nt
Filed under: uncultured Bacillota bacterium
Lineage: Bacteria; Bacillati; Bacillota
Description: bacterial SSU rRNA
Rfam family: Bacterial small subunit ribosomal RNA
Source: RNAcentral